AGAGUUUGAUCCUGGCUCAGAACGAACGCUGGCGGCGCGCCUAACACAUGCAAGUCGAACGCGAAAGUGUAGCAAUACAUGAGUAAAGUGGCGCACGGGUGAGUAACACGUAGGUGAUCUAGCUUUGUGACCGGGAUAACCAGUCGAAAGAUUGGCUAAUACUGGAUAGAGCGCAGAUGCCAUAAUGGUAUUUGCGGGAAAAGGUGGCAGUAGCAAUACUGCUUUUGCACUGAGAUGAGCCUGCGUCCCAUCAGCUAGUUGGUAGGGUAACGGCCUACCAAGGCAAUGACGGGUAGCUGGUCUGAGAGGACGAUCAGCCACACUGGAACUGAAACACGGUCCAGACUCCUACGGGAGGCAGCAGUGGGGAAUCUUGCGCAAUGGGCGAAGGCCUGACGCAGCGACGCCGCGUGGGUGAAGAAGGCCUUCGGGUUGUAAAGCCCUGUCGAGAGGGAAAAACGGCAGUACGAAUAAUACGCGUACUGCGUGAUGGUACCUCUAGAGGAAGCACCGGCUAACUUCGUGCCAGCAGCCGCGGUAAUACGAGGGGUGCAAGCGUUGUUCGGAAUUAUUGGGCGUAAAGGGCAGGUAGGUGGUCUUGUAAGUCUACUGUGAAAUCCCCGGGCUUAACCCGGGACGUGCGGUGGAUACUGCAAGACUAGAGUGCUGGAGGGGUUCGUGGAAUACCCGGUGUAGCGGUGAAAUGCGUAGAUAUCGGGUGGAACACCAGAGGCGAAGGCGGCGAACUUGACAGUAACUGACACUCAACUGCGAAAGCGUGGGGAGCAAACAGGAUUAGAUACCCUGAUAGUCCACGCUGUAAACGAUGAAUGCUAGACGUGGUGGGUCUUGACCCCCGCCGUGUCGAAGUUAACACGAUAAGCAUUCCGCCUGGGGAGUACGGUCGCAAGACUAAAACUCAAAGGAAUUGACGG
RNAcentral lists this ribosomal RNA (935 nucleotides) under uncultured bacterium. RNAcentral's name for it is "bacterial SSU rRNA". It matches the Rfam family "Bacterial small subunit ribosomal RNA", at positions 8 to 916 of the family's 1533-position model. The record is from RNAcentral.